Molecule: small nucleolar RNA, 133 nt
Organism: Mustela putorius furo (domestic ferret)
Lineage: Eukaryota; Metazoa; Chordata; Mammalia; Carnivora; Mustelidae
Gene: SNORA70
Rfam family: Small nucleolar RNA SNORA70
About the family: snoRNA U70 seems to be exclusive to mammals and is a member of the H/ACA class of snoRNA which contain H (ANANNA) and ACA box motifs.
Source: Ensembl
CUGCAGCCAGUGAAGCCCUUUGUGCUCUUUCCCCGUGGGGGCCGGUGUGCCACGGCUGCCAACCGUAACCUCCUUGGCAGGGUAUGAAGUCUGUUGCUUAUAGGGCUUGCCCUAAGGGGCCUUGGAGACAGAU